Molecule: long non-coding RNA, 397 nt
Filed under: Pongo abelii (Sumatran orangutan)
Lineage: Eukaryota; Metazoa; Chordata; Mammalia; Primates; Hominidae
Description: lincRNA
Source: RNAcentral
GUUUGCAGAACAUUGGCUACAGUAAGAACAUACAUACUCUGCAUCAGAGAGGGUUCAACAUUAACAACAAUGUCUGUAAAAACAGAAUCACAGCUGUCAAGAAGAGUGCUUUCUCCAUGUAUUGUGAAACACAUCCAUCUGGAUUCACCUAUUUAAGCUACAUGCCUAGCCCCCAGAGUCAUCCAGACUUUUAGCAUAAGAACUCAAAUGAAAAAUCAUGAAGAAUGCAUUAACUGAAUCCAACAUCACCUACAGGACCCUGGGCCCAUUGCACUUUGUAAUUGUAUUACUUUUCCUCUAGUAUCUUCAUAGGAUCUUAGGUAUACUCUCUCUGAAAAGUGUUAAAGACAACUUCUCCCUGGGCCUGAGAAUAAACUAUCUUUUUCCUAUCGCUGUA